RNAcentral lists this long non-coding RNA (2965 nucleotides) under Mus musculus (house mouse). RNAcentral's name for it is "HEATER_TCONS_01581366". The record is from RNAcentral. Lineage: Eukaryota; Metazoa; Chordata; Mammalia; Rodentia; Muridae.
UUCUACUUUAUUUCUCUUUGACUCUUGUUUGUUGUUUGUUUUAGUUACUCCCCACCCCCACCCCAGUCUGACCUUUCUUCCACCCUUAGGGUUUUAGAGUUUUUCCCCUUUCCUUUCUUCUCUCCACCUUUCUUUUAAAAAUGAGAAUGAAACCUAAAAUAAUCCCAGAGUUUAUUAGACAAAGUUGCCCUAAAGAAAGACACUCACACAGGAAAUGGAACCUGUGGUGUUUGCUAGGAAAACGCAGAAUUAAAAACAUCAGCGUGAAAGUCGAUCUUCACAGCCGCCCUCGGAGACCAUCAGGACAAGAAAGGACAAAUGAGGUUCAAAGGGGGUGGCCUGAAGCUGCACUGCCUGCUAGCAGGCACUCAACAUGCUUUGUUAGUGUGGCUAUUAUGCUCCCCAGAUUCCAGAAUGUUCUGUGCCACCAAGAGUGUAAACAGAAGGAAAUACCCCUCUGUCUCAUGCACCUUGAUGAUCACGCUACUUAAAGCUAUCAUGUAGUAGAAAGGAACAGAGGAUUCCUAAGUGUGGAUGGCUAGAACUUGAGCAGACCACUUAAGCGACACUGAGCCAAUCUUCUCAUUCCGGAAUUUGUGAAUAGUUUUCUACCACUAGAUUGUAAAGGGUUAAAUGAGAGAACAGGCUAGAAAAGUACUUUGUAAACUGUAAAGUUCCAUUCCAGGUAUGGGGUAGAGGAGAUGUUAUCUGGUUUAGCAGUGGAGUGCAAGAUCAAACGUAGGUUAGAGGUGUGUGGGGGGAGGGGUGUUAAAAAAAGAAACUUAAAAGACCUCCCAGGGAGAGUAGCGAAGUUACAAACUUCCACACUGUUUCCCCUGCAGGGAACACUCACCCGGGCACAAAGGCAGACCCCAUGGGUCAAUCCCACCUUGAACAAAUGUACGCCUUUCCAUUUGCUACAGCUGUCUGGUGGUCAGAGGUGAAGAGCAGACCAGACAGCUGGCAAGACAUGAAACAACGAGAUGUAGGUAUCACCUUAAAAAAAAAAAAAAAAAAGCACCUGUGGGAAAUAGUGUGCGAUCGAAAAGCAGCAGCAAGUGCUUGGGGCAUUUCAGCUGGAAAGUGAGACAGAGGCAGACCCAAGACAGAUGCAACCCACACCCUCCAUCUGCAAUCAGAGUGCCUCACAUGUCAGAAAGCAAGUUGUCCUCCCUCAGGGCAAUCUUGAAGGCUGUCAAUGUUCUAGCCAUGAGAAAACAAAAAAUCUAUAUAGGACAUUCCAACAUGUGGAGGCCUGAUAGGGCUGAAAGGCUCUAUGGGAGUCUAACUAGCGCAUGCUUCUCACUUGGUGGACUGGGGAUGGCGGGUGGGCUUGCUUCACUGGGGAGGGGAGAGCGGUGUCUGAACCUGCCUGGGGACCGGCCACUGCUUCUGAUCUAAGCCAGCAGAGCUGGGCAAACAACCUGGGUUCAAACCCAAUUGCUUCAAUAGCUACAUUGCUUAACUGCAGUGGCUGACAUGACUACCCUCCCACAGCUUCAGUUUCCUGGUCUGUAAAACAGGGGUGGGUGAGUAACAGCACUUUCCUCUGCGAUGGUGCAUGGCUCAGACUAAGUGAUACCUGAUAAGGCAAUUAGGAAGUGCCUGGCACCAAAGCAGCUGUCAAUAAGCAUUGGCUAUUACAGGACUGUUUCAGAAGGGAAGCUCGUUAGCUCAUCUGGUUCCUAAGGUCCAGAGCUGUGUGAAAACAACUAAAAUCUGCCCUGUACCGGCAAGCAUACCAACGGACCUUACACACUCACAAACGUCUAAGAGACAUUUCAAAUGCUUCUGUGAUUUUUUCCCCCACAUUGGGGUGUUGUACCACGACAGGAAUGUAUAGGUCAAAGGACAACUUGCAAAAAAAAAAAAAAAAAAAAAAAAAAAAGUUUGUUCUUUCCCCCAUGUAGGUCCCAGGAAGAUUAAACUCAGGUCGUUGGGCCCAUACCCACUGAGCCAUCUGGUCAGCCUUCAAACUUUAUGAACUAAUUUAGAUAAAUCAGACGUGCAUGCAGAAAGGCAGUGAAUCUUGUGACUAAAUAUUCAUAUCAGAGCUGUAGUUAGCUCCAGCUGUGUCUCUCACAUGCUAGGACACCUGGAACGAGUCACAGCUUUGUGUCUCUGUUCCACAUCUAUGAACAGAGAAGAAUAAAAUAUCUAACAGUAAAGUAGAGACGAAGUAAGACAAUGUAUGUGUGGGCACAGGUUUCCAUUCAGUCCUUGGCAAGUGAACAGUGCUUAAUAGUUGGUUGCUAUUAUUACUUCAUUCACUUGAAAAGCAAUAGUCAGAAGAAUAUUUAUUAUUAAACUCAAGUGUUUAACCACUAAAUUUGUGGUGUGUGUGUGUGUGUGUGUGUGUGUGUGUGUGUGUGGAGACAUGUGUGUAGCCUGUGCACACGAUGGAGAUCAAUGUUGUUCUUCUCUAACCCUCCCUACCAUAUUCCUUUGAGUCAGGGUCUCUCACUGAACCUAGUUAGCCAGCAGCCAGCAAGCCCCUUUAACCCAUGUGUCUCUGCCUCCCGUACUGCUGUGGUCACAAGCGCGUGGACAUGGAUAUUUACUUGGGUGCUUGGUGUACAAACUCGGGGCCUCAUGCUUAUACAGCACUCUUAAACACUGACCCACCUCUCCAGAGCCUCUUUUUAUCUUAAACAAUAGUGGAGAUGGAUCUUAGGGAGACAAGUGCUGUACCCUUCAGCUAUAUCCCCAGCCCCUAUUCAUUCGAAAGAAGGAGAGAGGGAGGGAGAGACUGAGGAAGGAAGGAAGAAAGGAAGGAAGGAAGGAACGAAGGAACGAAAGAAAAGAAAAGAAAAGAAAAGAAAAGAAAAGAAAAGAAAAGAAAAAAGAAAAGAAAAGAAACAUGUCCUAAGCAGGGCUGGAGAGAUGCCUCAAUGGUUAAGAAUGUGUUGUGCACUUUCCAGCCAGCACGGAGCCAUGGGCACCUCUCAGGACAACUGGCACAAGC